AUCGCUUCUCGGCCUUUUGGCUAAGAUCAAGUGUAGUAUCAAAUCCAAAUUGAGUUUAUAUUUUCCCUCUAAAUUUUAGAAAAUAUUUCUUUUUAUUUAUGCGUAUGCAUAUCUUGCCUGCACGUAUAUAUGUGAACUGCAUGCAUGAAAUACCCUUGGAGGCCAAAGAGAUCAU
This is a small nuclear RNA of Rattus norvegicus (Norway rat), 175 nucleotides long. Ensembl annotates it as U2 spliceosomal RNA. The record is from Ensembl. Lineage: Eukaryota; Metazoa; Chordata; Mammalia; Rodentia; Muridae.